CGAAUAUCCCCGCCGCGUUCAAGUCGCCUCGUGCAAUGCCCGAAUUAGGGUUUCAUGCGUCAUGAAUCCGUGCAUCGGAUUGCCUCGCAAUCCCAGUAGACUACAGCGAUUCUCCAGCAACCGAGGUUGUGUUUCCCGUGAUUCGCUUGAUCAGCAGAAAGGUUUUUGACCAUAAGUUGAGCUCAUUUGGUCGCAGCGCUGAGCAGAAACAAGUGCUUGGAGCGCUGUUGGUUUGGAUCCAGAAUGGCGUGACUGGAGACAGAGGCAUGGUUUACAGAAGAAGAAGAAUGGAAUUGUAUCUAGAAACAAGCGUUCGAGGGAAUGUUUGAGCUUGAAUGGCAGAUAUGGCUCGAUUGCGGUGUCCAUGGCGUGUCGGUGCACUCUCGAUCGGAUUCUCUGUUGCCAUCAUCUUUUUCGUGUUGGUCGAGAUGCAUUUGUUCGUGACACAGCAGAAGUAUGCCAAUCGAGCAUCAUUUGCAGUAGAAAGUGAAGAGGGUUGUCAACGCGAAUUGCGGAAGCUCGGGGAUAAAAUUUUGACACAACAGACAACCCUUUUUUGAAUUAAAGAAGUUUGAUGGUUUUUGGUUUGUGAUUUGUAACAUUGUCGUUAUGUCUGGUGUAGAUGAGAAAGCUCGGCUGGAGGAAGAUAAUAGAGUUUUGGGCACUGAACUUGAGGAUUUUCAAAAUAAGGAACAAUUGGCAAAAAUCUCUGGCAGUUCGAAGCUGGGACCAGUUGCUGCUGUGGUGAUUAUGGCUUGCAACCGUCCUGAUUAUUUGGAGCGUACAUUGAAGUCUGUAACUAAAUAUCACAAAGAUGUGGCGGAGAAAUUUCCACUUUUUGUUUCUCAGGAUGGCUCGAACCAGGAUGUCAUGGAUACAGCUCGAAGCUUUUCUUCAGUGAAUUUCCUGCAGCAUUUAGAUGAAAAUCCUCCCAAGACAAGGAACCCUGGAGAGAUAAUCGCCUAUUACAAAAUUGCAAGUCAUUACAAGUGGGCUUUAACACAACUUUUUAACAAGCGGGACUUCCGAAGGGUCGUCAUCUUAGAAGAUGACAUGGAAAUCUCUCCCGACUUUUUCAGUUACUUUGAGGCAACUGCUCCUUUAUUGGACACGGACAAGACUUUGCUUGCUAUUUCAUCAUGGAAUGAUAAUGGUCAAGAGAAAUUUGUAUCUGAUCCAGAGCAAUUGUAUCGCUCUGACUUUUUUCCAGGUCUAGGUUGGAUGCUCACGAAAUCCACCUGGGAAGAACUUGCUCCAAAGUGGCCCAAUGCCUACUGGGAUGAUUGGCUAAGACUGAAGGAGAAUAGGAAAGGUCGCCAGGUUAUCCGACCUGAAGUUUGCCGGACCUACAAUUUUGGAGAGCAGGGAUCAAGCUUAGGGCAGUUCUAUGAGCAGUACUUGAAGUCUAUCAAAUUGAACAAUGUGAACGUUGAUUGGAGGUCGAAGGAUUUGAAUUACUUGAAAAAGGGACAAUUCAAUCCAAUCUUUAAUUCACUUGUUUCCAAAGCAGCUAUUAUACCAGCAUCACAGGCACUAACAGAGGCAAAUUACGGAGAAGGAGACAUUCGGGUCCAAUACUAUUCCUUGGUGGAGUUCAAAUACCUUGCUCAUGAGUUCGGUAUAUUUGAAGAUACAAAGGACGGUAUACCAAGGACAGCAUAUAAUGGGGUGAUAGUUUUUAGAUGGAAGGGUCAAAAGCGUGUAUUUCUCACCAAUUUCUUUCAGCAGUUAGAUACCAUAGAAACUCUGUAAAUGAUUAGUAUAGAUUAAGAUCCUGCAUGUUCCUUUAUGAACCAAAACCAUUAUUCGAAGCUUACUCAAAGUUGCAUGUAUGUGUACAUAUAGUAUACCACUGGAUGGAACAUCUGAAUUAAAUGGGAACAUUUUUUGGUUGAAA
Non-coding RNA from Physcomitrium patens, 1897 nucleotides. Lineage: Eukaryota; Viridiplantae; Streptophyta; Bryopsida; Funariales; Funariaceae. The record is from RefSeq and is a predicted model, not a curated record.